UACGUAGGGACCGAGCGUUGUCCGGAUUCAUUGGGCGUAAAGAGCUCGUAGGCGGCUGUUCAAGUCGAACGUGAAAACUCGGAGCUCAACUCCGAGCCUGCGUUCGAUACUGGACGGCUAGAGUCUGGUAGGGGGAUCUGGAAUUCCUGGUGUAGCGGUGGAAUGCGCAGAUAUCAGGAGGAACACCGGUGGCGAAGGCGGCCUUCUGGACAGCAACUGACGCUGGAGACGCGAAAGCGUGGGGAGCAAACAGG
Molecule: ribosomal RNA, 254 nt
Filed under: uncultured bacterium
Lineage: Bacteria
Description: partial 16S ribosomal RNA
Rfam family: Bacterial small subunit ribosomal RNA
Source: RNAcentral